GGUCCGUGACUGAAUUAAAGUAUAUAACUAUGCCUAAGCCUUAUUAUAGUAAUUGGUAUUGUCAUCUGAUAAAGUCAUGUCGAUUAUAAGAUACACAGUUUUCUCUGCUUUCAAAUCUUUCUGUUUGAACCCGUCGACCUGGAACUUAUCAAUUAUUGGAAAUAUUAAUUAUUUGGAUAACAAAAGGUCCAGGCUAUCCAGGAAUGG
This 207-nucleotide long non-coding RNA is filed under the name Mytilus galloprovincialis (Mediterranean mussel). Lineage: Eukaryota; Metazoa; Mollusca; Bivalvia; Mytilida; Mytilidae. The record is from RNAcentral.